UGCUGGAGGUAUCAGAAGUGCGAAUGCUGACAUAAGUAACGAUAAAGCGGGUGAAAAGCCCGCUCGCCGGAAGACCAAGGGUUCCUGUCCAACGUUAAUCGGGGCAGGGUGAGUCGACCCCUAAGGCGAGGCCGAAAGGCGUAGUCGAUGGGAAACAGGUUAAUAUUCCUGUACUUGGUGUUACUGCGAAGGGGGGACGGAGAAGGCUAUGUUAGCCGGGCGACGGUUGUCCCGGUUUAAGCAUGUAGGCUGAUUGUCCAGGCAAAUCCGGAUAAUCAAGGCUGAGGUGUGAUGACGAGGCACUACGGUGCUGAAGUAACAAAUGCCCUGCUUCCAGGAAAAGCCUCUAAGCAUCAGGUAACAUCAAAUCGUACCCCAAACCGACACAGGUGGUCAGGUAGAGAAUACCAAGGCGCUUGAGAGAACUCGGGUGAAGGAACUAGGCAAAAUGGUGCCGUAACUUCGGGAGAAGGCACGCUGGUGUGUAGGUGAAGUCCCUGCGGAUGGAGCUGAGACCAGUCGAAGAUACCAGCUGGCUGCAACUGUUUAUUAAAAACACAGCACUGUGCAAACACGAAAGUGGACGUAUACGGUGUGACGCCUGCCCGGUGCCGGAAGGUUAAUUGAUGGGGUUAUCCGUAAGGAGAAGCUCUUGAUCGAAGCCCCGGUAAACGGCGGCCGUAACUAUAACGGUCCUAAGGUAGCGAAAUUCCUUGUCGGGUAAGUUCCGACCUGCACGAAUGGCGUAAUGAUGGCCAGGCUGUCUCCACCCGAGACUCAGUGAAAUUGAACUCGCUGUGAAGAUGCAGUGUACCCGCGGCAAGACGGAAAGACCCCGUGAACCUUUACUAUAGCUUGACACUGAACAUUGAGCCUUGAUGUGUAGGAUAGGUGGGAGGCUUUGAAGCGUGGACGCCAGUCUGCGUGGAGCCAACCUUGAAAUACCACCCUUUAAUGUUUGAUGUUCUAACGUUGGCCCCUUACCGGGGUUGCGGACAGUGUCUGGUGGGUAGUUUGACUGGGGCGGUCUCCUCCCAAAGCGUAACGGAGGAGCACGAAGGUUAGCUAAUCCUGGUCGGACAUCAGGAGGUUAGUGCAAUGGCAUAAGCUAGCUUGACUGCGAGCGUGACGGCGCGAGCAGGUGCGAAAGCAGGUCAUAGUGAUCCGGUGGUUCUGAAUGGAAGGGCCAUCGCUCAACGGAUAAAAGGUACUCCGGGGAUAACAGGCUGAUACCGCCCAAGAGUUCAUAUCGACGGCGGUGUUUGGCACCUCGAUGUCGGCUCAUCACAUCCUGGGGCUGAAGUAGGUCCCAAGGGUAUGGCUGUUCGCCAUUUAAAGUGGUACGCGAGCUGGGUUUAGAACGUCGUGAGACAGUUCGGUCCCUAUCUGCCGUGGGCGCUGGAGAAUUGAGGGGGGCUGCUCCUAGUACGAGAGGACCGGAGUGGACGCAUCACUGGUGUUCGGGUUGUCAUGCCAAUGGCACUGCCCGGUAGCUAAAUGCGGAAGAGAUAAGUGCUGAAAGCAUCUAAGCACGAAACUUGCCCCGAGAUGAGUUCUCCCUGAGACUUUAAGUCUCCUGAAGGAACGUU
This 1589-nucleotide ribosomal RNA is filed under the name Klebsiella pneumoniae. RNAcentral's name for it is "bacterial LSU rRNA". It matches the Rfam family "Bacterial large subunit ribosomal RNA", at positions 1271 to 2839 of the family's 2925-position model. The record is from RNAcentral. RNAcentral also lists the same sequence under 1 other name. Lineage: Bacteria; Pseudomonadati; Pseudomonadota; Gammaproteobacteria; Enterobacterales; Enterobacteriaceae.